RNAcentral lists this ribosomal RNA (980 nucleotides) under uncultured bacterium. Its description in RNAcentral is "bacterial SSU rRNA". It matches the Rfam family "Bacterial small subunit ribosomal RNA", at positions 401 to 1397 of the family's 1533-position model. The record is from RNAcentral.
AAAGGAUGAAGUCCUUUUUGGAUGUAAACUUUUUUUAGCCGAGAACAAGUUCUGAGUGUAUNGGCUGAAUAAGCUACGACUAACCUCGUNCCAGCAGUCGCGGUAAUACGAGGGUAGCAAGCGUUAUCCGGNAAUUACUGGGCGUAAAGCGUUGUAUAAGUGUCUUGGUAAGUCAGCUAUUAAAUCCUUGUGCUCAACAUAAGGGCCGUAGCUGAUACUAUCUGGAUUGAGUAAGUUCGACGCAGAUGGAAUUCCUAGAGUAGGGGUUACAUCCAUUGAUACUAGGAAGAACACCAAAGGCGAAAGCAUUCUGCGAGGACUUUACUGACACUGCGUACACGAAAGCGUGGGGAGCGAACAGUAUUAGAUACACUGGUAGUCCACGCUGUAAACGAUGGAUGCUAGUAGUCUGAAGUUUUCGACCCUUCAAGCUACGAAGCUAACGCGUUAAGCAUCUCGCCUGGGAAGUACGGCCGCAAGGCUAAAACUCAAAGGAAUAGACGGGGACCCGCACAAGGGGUGGAGCAUGUGGUUCAAUUCGAAGCUAAGCGUGGAACCUUACCAGGGUUUAGACUUAUGAAGAACUCUUUAGAAAUAAGGAGGUGCCCUCUUUUAGCAGGGAGCUUCAUAAUCAGGUAUUGCAUGGCAGUCGUCAGCUCGUGUCGUGAGAUUUCCGGUUAAGUCCGAAAACGAGCGCAACCCCCAUCCUAAGUUACAAGUGUCUUAGGAAACUGCUUCCUUUAGGAAGAGGAAGGUGGGGACGACGUCUUGUCCGCAUGGUCCUUGAUGCCCUGGGCGACACACGUGCUACAAUGGCGUAUACAAAGGGUUGCUUAGGGGUAACCUGAAGCCAAUCCCUAAAAUACGCCUCAGUUCGGAUUGAAGUCUGCAACUUGACUUCAUGAAGAUGGAAUCGCUAGUAACCGUAGAUCAGCCACGCUACGGUGAAUACGUUCUCGGGUCUUGUACACACCGCCCGU